This is a small nucleolar RNA of Humulus lupulus (European hop), 108 nucleotides long. The record is from RefSeq and is a predicted model, not a curated record. NCBI's taxonomy places the organism in Eukaryota, Viridiplantae, Streptophyta, Magnoliopsida, Rosales, Cannabaceae.
AAUUCAAUGGUGGGGAAAUUUUCUUAACAACUCCUUAAACCUUUCCCACGCAUCAUACAACAACUCACCAUCUCUCUGGUAAAAAUUGUUGAUUUCACAUCUAUACCU